UACGUAGGGAGCAAGCGUUGUUCGGAUUUACUGGGCGUAAAGGGCGCGUAGGCGGCGCGGUAAGUCACUUGUGAAAUCUCUGAGCUUAACUCAGAACGGCCAAGUGAUACUGCAGUGCUAGAGUGCAGAAGGGGCAAUCGGAAUUCUUGGUGUAGCGGUGAAAUGCGUAGAUAUCAAGAGGAACACCUGAGGUGAAGACGGGUUGCUGGGCUGACACUGACGCUGAAGCGCGAAAGCUAGGGGAGCAAACGGG
Molecule: ribosomal RNA, 253 nt
Filed under: uncultured bacterium
Lineage: Bacteria
Description: partial 16S ribosomal RNA
Rfam family: Bacterial small subunit ribosomal RNA
Source: RNAcentral